RNAcentral lists this ribosomal RNA (433 nucleotides) under uncultured bacterium. RNAcentral describes it as "partial 16S ribosomal RNA". It matches the Rfam family "Bacterial small subunit ribosomal RNA", at positions 29 to 507 of the family's 1533-position model. The record is from RNAcentral.
AACGAACGCUGGCGGCAUGCCUAAUACAUGCAAGUCGAACGAGAUCUUCGGAUCUAGUGGCGCACGGGUGCGUAACGCGUGGGAAUCUGCCCUUGGGUUCGGAAUAACUUCUGGAAACGGAAGCUAAUACCGGAUGAUGACGUAAGUCCAAAGAUUUAUCGCCCAAGGAUGGGCCCGCGUAGGAUUAGGUAGUUGGUGAGGUAAAGGCUCACCAAGCCGACGAUCCUUAGCUGGUCUGAGAGGAUGAUCAGCCACACUGGGACUGAGACACGGCCCAGACUCCUACGGGAGGCAGCAGUAGGGAAUAUUGGACAAUGGGCGAAAGCCUGAUCCAGCAAUGCCGCGUGAGUGAUGAAGGCCUUAGGGUUGUAAAGCUCUUUUACCCGGGAUGAUAAUGACAGUACCGGGAGAAUAAGCUCCGGCUAACUCCGUG